Acanthosepion pharaonis is the source of this 97-nucleotide non-coding RNA. The record is from the annotation of a GenBank genome assembly. Lineage: Eukaryota; Metazoa; Mollusca; Cephalopoda; Sepiida; Sepiidae.
CAUUAAAACACUGGUUCCAAUAUGAUCACUGGUUAAGCAAUGUUGAGCCUGGUCAGUACCUAGAUGGGUGACCGCUUGGGAAUAGCAGGUGCUGUAA